This 769-nucleotide ribosomal RNA is filed under the name uncultured bacterium. RNAcentral describes it as "bacterial SSU rRNA". It matches the Rfam family "Bacterial small subunit ribosomal RNA", at positions 738 to 1504 of the family's 1533-position model. The record is from RNAcentral.
UACUGACGCUGAGGUUCGAAAGCAUGGGUAGCGAACAGGAUUAGAUACCCUGGUAGUCCAUGCAGUAAACGAUGAGUGCUAGAUGUUGGGAAUUUAAAUUUCCAGUAUCGCAGUUAACGCGUUAAGCACUCCGCCUGGGAAGUACGGCCGCAAGGCUAAAACUCAAAUGAAUUGACGGGGACCCGCACAAGCGGUGGAUCAUGUGGUUUAAUUCGAAGAUACGCGAAGAACCUUACCGGCCCUUGACAUACCAAUCGCGGACUUAAGAGAUUAAGUCUUUCACUUCGGGUGGAUUGGAUACAGGUGCUGCAUGGCUGUCGUCAGCUCGUGUCGUGAGAUGUUGGGUUAAGUCCCGCAACGAGCGCAACCCUUACCUUCAAUUGCCAGCACAUUAUGGUGGGAACUUUGAAGGAACUGCCGGUGAUAAGCCGGAGGAAGGUGGGGAUGACGUCAAGUCCUCAUGGCCCUUACGGGCCGGGCUACACACGUGAUACAAUGGUAACUACAAAGGGCAGCGAAGGAGCGAUCUGGAGCAAAUCUCAAAAAGUUACCUCAGUUCGGAUUGUACUCUGCAACUCGAGUGCAUGAAGUUGGAAUCGCUAGUAAUCGUAGAUCAGCGCGCUACGGUGAAUACGUUCCCGGGUCUUGUACACACCGCCCGUCACACCAUGGGAGUUGGUUUUACCUGAAGCUGGUUCGCUAACCGUAAGGAGGCAGCCAACCACGGUAAGAUUAAAGAGUGGGGUGAAGUCGUAACAAGGUAACCGUA